This 429-nucleotide ribosomal RNA is filed under the name Chloroflexota bacterium. RNAcentral's name for it is "Chloroflexi bacterium partial 16S ribosomal RNA". It matches the Rfam family "Bacterial small subunit ribosomal RNA", at positions 355 to 776 of the family's 1533-position model. The record is from RNAcentral. Lineage: Bacteria; Bacillati; Chloroflexota.
UGGGGAAUAUUGCACAAUGGGCGCAAGCCUGAUGCAGCCAUGCCGCGUGUGUGAAGAAGGCCUUCGGGUUGUAAAGCACUUUCAGCGGGGAGGAAGGCGUUAAGGUUAAUAACCUUGGCGAUUGACGUUACCCGCAGAAGAAGCACCGGCUAACUCCGUGCCAGCAGCCGCGGUAAUACGGAGGGUGCAAGCGUUAAUCGGAAUUACUGGGCGUAAAGCGCACGCAGGCGGUCUGUCAAGUCGGAUGUGAAAUCCCCGGGCUCAACCUGGGAACUGCAUUCGAAACUGGCAGGCUAGAGUCUUGUAGAGGGGGGUAGUAUUCCAGGUGUAGCGGUGAAAUGCGUAGAGAUCUGGAGGAAUACCGGUGGCGAAGGCGGCCCCCUGGACAAAGACUGACGCUCAGGUGCGAAAGCGUGGGGAGCAAACAGG